Molecule: long non-coding RNA, 1664 nt
Organism: Metopolophium dirhodum (rose-grain aphid)
Lineage: Eukaryota; Metazoa; Arthropoda; Insecta; Hemiptera; Aphididae
Exons: 3
Source: RefSeq, a predicted model, not a curated record
GCUGACCGUACGUACCGGCAAUAGUCAAUCGCAUCUGUCAAGACAGGAGAAGUCGACGACGACCACAGCGCGACGAAGAUCGAGACGACGACCAUUAUAUGGACUUGUUGAGACGAAUUCGACGACGACCAAAUAGACUUGAGACGACUUCGGUGGCGGCCUACAAGACUUGAGACGACUAGAGACGGCGGUAUUCAUAUUAUUAUAACAUCGCGACCAGGUGGAGCGGCGACGGCCAUUACCUAUAUUAUAACGUGUACACGCGUAAUGCGUGUGACGAGACUCACGGAUUUACGUCUGGAGAAUUCGAAUCAACGGAUUAUGGCCUCAAUGUACACACACGAACAGACGUCGCGUACUGCAUAAUAUAUUAUAUUAUUAUUCCAACACAAUAUAAUAUAACCGUAAUGGCGUGUGGCUGCAACGCUGCAGCGCGGAAGUGAAGAGGAAAUGAAAAACAAUAGUAAAGAUGUGCCGGAGAUCCAAGUACAAGCUGUUGUCGGUCCGUCCGUCCUCGUCCGAGCACCGAUGCAGAGCUGCAAAUGUCGACGAAUAAUGCGUGGCACCCUGUACGUAUACUAAAUGUAUCCUGAGUGCAUUAUAAAACUGUCCGGUAUACCUUCAGUAUACGUAACAGGGUGCCAUACCGAUCGUCCGGAAGUGGUCCCGCGGCGUGGCCUGCAGCAGCUCAGCGUCCCUGCGACGACGUCUUUUUCGUGUACAAUUUUAUUAUUAUAAUAAUACAUUGGUAUAAUAUACAAAUCAUUGUCGUCAUUGGUCGGGCGUUACCGCGAAUACAUGUAAAAUAUUUAGAUUGUUACAAGAAAAAAAAUUAAUGCACUGCGCUUGCGCUUGCGCAUCUAUCACAUUAAUAGGCAUAUUAUAUUUUAUUACAAUUCAUUAUUAUAAUAUAUAACAUCGCAAGAAGUAUACCUGUAUACCUACACGUGUUAUAUAAUAUAUUAUAUAGGUACAUUAUGAUUUUUAUUAUAUAAAUUAUUUGUAAUAUUGUUUUACUUGGCAAGCCUACUCGAUUCAUUUGUAAUUUUUUUUUUAUUUUAUUAUUAUUACAAUAUAUCUGUUUGAGUUAACAUAUAAUUCUCACUUUUGAAAAAGAAAAACAAUUUAUAUCUCUUGUACUGUUAUUAUAUUAUUAUUAUAUGUCUGUUAUCGGUCGCGAGAUUCUAAUCGGAAAUUAAAAAUAAUAUACAUACCUAUAACAUACGUACCUACAUUUAUAUAUUAUAUUACAUUAUUAGAUAUAUAUUGUGCAUUAUACGCUCGCGAAACCCGUUUGCCCCGAUGGGAAAUUGCACGACAGUAAAUCCGUAAUGUUUACGAUGUUUAUACGAUACGAGAAACGUGUAGGUUUAUUAUUAUCAUUAUUAUUGGUAUAUUAUUAUAUAGUAGCAGCGUUUUUGUAUAUAAUUGACGGCGAAGAGUAGGCUUGCGCAAUGUGCUCUCAUAUUAUACAGAUUUCUUUAAAAGGCGCGUUACAAUAAUACAUAUUAUAUUGCGUAAAAUGCAUAAUAUAUUAUAAUAAUUAUAUUAUAUGUGAUGCGUCGUGCCUAACGAUUUUUCAAAAGACGUUUUGUAAUUUUUUUUUUAAUGUGUUCGUUCGAUCAUAUACGAGCGUCGGGCUUACAAUAAAAUAAUUAUACGUU